GGUCGUGUAGCUGAGCAGGCCUGGGGCUUGGUUCUAUGUCCCUGUAGUCCUCCUGGAUUGCAUUUAUGGAAGUUUAUACGAGACCUAGUUUCCAUGGAGGAACUCACUGAUUCCGCGAGGGAGAUGGGGUACUGGAUGAUGGUCUUCAGCCUUAAGGGUACUUCAGUCUUCACUGUGUGUUAUAAAGUUUGAAAGGGAGGGUUCCCUAUGAAUAAGAAGCGCACUUGAAAGAACAGCCCUCUGGUCUAACUUCUCACUGGUGCUUCAGAGGAGGAUAAAAGGUCGCAGCUAUGUUUCCAGUGUCCUCUGGGUGUUUCCAAGAGCAACAAGAAACGAAUAAAUCUCUGCCCCGCAGCGCCUCCACCCCAGAGACCCGGACCAAGUUCACACAGGACAAUCUGUGCCACGCCCAGCGCGAGCGCCUGGACUCGGCCAACCUGUGGGUGCUGGUGGACUGCAUCCUUCGCGACACCUCCGAGGACCUGGGACUCCAGUGUGACGCCGUGAACCUGGCCUUCGGGCGCCGCUGUGAGGAACUGGAGGACGCGCGGCACAAGCUGCAGCACCACCUGCACAAGAUGCUGCGGGAAAUCACAGAUCAGGAACACAACGUGGUGGCACUGAAGGAGGCCAUCAAGGACAAGGAGGAACCUCUGCACAUAGCCCAGACCCGGCUGUAGUUGCUCUCACACCGGCCCAACAUGCAGCUGUGCCGCGAUGCAGCCCAGUUCAGCCCCAGCUCACACCCCCCAACACCCCCAAGCUGGUGAGUGAGGUGGAGGAGCUGUACAAGUCCAUCACAGCGCUGCGGGAGAAGCUUCUACAAGCGGAGCAGUCCCUGCGCAACCUCAAGGACAUCCACAUGAGCCUGGAGAAGGACGUCACUGCCAUGACCAACAGUCUCUUCAUCGACCGCCAGAAGUGCAUGGCCCAUCGUACUUGCUACCCCACCAUUCUGCAGCUGGCUGGCUACCAGUGAGCAGCGGCACGGUGCUUCCCCCCAAUCCCCCAAAUAAACAGUGCGUUAGCUUUCUGCA
Long non-coding RNA from Homo sapiens (human), 1037 nucleotides. Ensembl annotates it as tektin 4 pseudogene 2. Its record names the gene TEKT4P2. NCBI's taxonomy places the organism in Eukaryota, Metazoa, Chordata, Mammalia, Primates, Hominidae. The record is from Ensembl.